CCUCUUUCCUCGGAGGAAACUUUCCGCCGGCUGGUCCGUCGCGGUGUCUGGCCGCACCGCCGCACGAACCUGGUAAGGCGGACGGGGCGGCCCGGCCCGGGUAUAUGCGGCGACCGGGAAGACACCAGUGUCGGGGCCAGGCUGCGGGACGCUGACGGGGUGGAGGAGCUACGGGAGGAGCGAGCGCCUUGUGCCCUGGAGGACCUGACCUGGGUAACCUCGCAGGCUGACAGGCGAGCUGCGCCACAGCAGCAUGGAUGCCCCGAGAAGGGACAUGGAGCUACUCAGCAACAGCCUGGCAGCCUAUGCGCACAUCCGAGGUGAGGGCCAGGCCUGGGGGCACGGAGCUCGUCCAUCAUAACCCAGGCAGCCCUCCGCUCCCAGCUGCUCACCCUGUCCUUGCUGCCCUUCCGUUCCUUACCCCAAGCCUAACUAGACCCUGGAUUUCUCCCAGAUGGGAUGACUCCAGCCUGUCAGGGCCCCCUGUGACCUCCGCUCCCUGCUCCCUAGCUAACCCUGAGAGCUUCGGCCUCUACUUCGUGCUUGGCGUCUGCUUCGGCCUGCUGCUGACCCUAUGCCUGCUGGUCAUCAGCAUCUCCUGCGCGCCUCGUUCGCGGCCCCGGACCCCUGCCCCACACCGGGACCCUCGCAGUAGCACCCUAGAGCCGGAAGACGAGGACGACGAGGAUGAGGACACCAUGACGAGGCUGGGUCCGGAUGACACCCUGCAGGGCCAGGAGCUGUCCACAGAACCCGACGGGCCCCUUAGCGUCAAUGUCUUCACGUCAGCAGAGGAGCUAGAGCGGGCACAGCGGCUGGAGGAGCGUGAACGAAUCCUGCGGGAGAUCUGGCGCACUGGGCAGCCAGACCUGUUGGGCAGCGGCACUCUCGGGCCCGGAGCCACGGCCACGUUGGGCCGAAUGCACUAUUACUGACACCCGGUCCCACAGAGUGGGGCCAGAGUACUGGAUACAGGACUGCCUCAGGGCUUUCAAACUGCCUCUGCCCCAACUCUCUUGGUGCUAUUGGGCAUUGGAUCGCCACCUACUAAGCACUCUUCGUGGGGCAGGUGUGGGUGGGAACAGAAUGCCAGCUCCCACCUUUUCCCGAUAAUAAUGACCAAUGAAAGAUCAAAGAAACAGACCGAGGCACGCCUCUCGCAC
Rattus rattus (black rat) is the source of this 1163-nucleotide RNA transcript. It is a transcript of the gene named eva-1 homolog B, with no coding region annotated. Lineage: Eukaryota; Metazoa; Chordata; Mammalia; Rodentia; Muridae. The transcript has 3 exons. The record is from RefSeq and is a predicted model, not a curated record.